Molecule: long non-coding RNA, 5191 nt
Organism: Acinonyx jubatus (cheetah)
Lineage: Eukaryota; Metazoa; Chordata; Mammalia; Carnivora; Felidae
Exons: 2
Source: RefSeq, a predicted model, not a curated record
GGGCAGCUCGGGCUGCGGCAGGUGCAGGAUGGGCUGGGUGAAGUGGCCGAUGGGGUCGAAGACGCUGCCUGGGAGCUGGGGCUCCAGGACGGGCACCUGGGCGGCGAUGAAGGGCGGAGGCGAGGACUUCAUCGUGGUGGCUGCCUGUGGCGGUAUGGAAGGCGGGGGCGGCGGGGGUGGGGGCUGCUGCUGCUGCGGAGGUGGAGGCGGCGGGGGCUGCUGGGGAGGCGGCGGGGGCUGCUGGGGCACGGGGGCCGGGGUCUGCUGCAUCUGCUGAUGGUGGUGGUGAUGGUGCUGCGGACAGACAGGCUGACGUCAGGCAGGCGGGACACGCCUGUGUACCCUCGGGGCCCAUGAGGGCAGGUGGCCAGCUGCUCACCUGCUGGAGGACACCCCUGAGACCACGUACCUUCUUCUGUUCCCUCCCGGGGUGCCCCUUCUUUUUUGACUUCGGAGCCAUCUCUGCAGAGGGAAAGAGAAGGUGGUGAGGUGCUGGGGGAGAGGACUGUGAGCCGGCCUCGGAGGCAGAGCCAGGAGAAAACAGAGGGGACCAUGUCUGAAAAGCCUCCCUGCCCACAAGCUUCACUAAAGGAUGAUGCCCGGGUACGCUGGGAGAUGAGCUACAGAGACCUCCUCGCCCAGUGUCUCCCCCACUUGCUGGGUCAGACGCCACUAUGGUGACUGAAGUGUCUGUAUCCCAGCCCGCUCUGCCUUGGGAACAAUUGUGCCACUCAAAAUGAUCACAUCCAUUUGAUGGAUCAGCCAAGUGAGGCUCAGAGAAAUUAAGGGACCUGCCCUGUGUCACGCAGCUGCAAAGUAACGACAUGGCUGCCUCCAACUGUACUGCCCUCUAAGCUGACUCCUUCCCAUCCUCCCAGGGGAAGCAGAGCUGCACAACUGUGGUGAGAGUGGUGGUGUCGGCAUGGGCCAAGGCCUGGCUGCAGAGUGAGCACUUUAGGGGAGGGACCGAUGGAGAGAGGGAGGGAAGGCAGGCCAGCGUCUCAGGAAUGACCCGGAGGAAACGGAGAAGGUGCUCGCUACCGUGGCCAGCAAAGGUGGCCACCAACCAGCAUCCCCUUCCUCGUGAAAGACCAGCCUCAGACAAGUCCCCGUGAUGGGACACAGCCAACGUGCUGCAGGGAGAAGGCAGUGUGUGCCCUGGUUCCUCAGGGGCCGGCGGCUUGUUGCUGCCAUGGUAUGGCCUUGUCCAGGAUGGGGCUGUCCCUGCAAGGAAUGGGCAACCGCCAACACACACACCCAACCCACAGAUAUAUGCUAAGGAUCUUCUGCCACCUGUCUGUCCCCUGCCAAGAAUCGCUGGUGUGCGAACCCCAGAGAGGGAGAGGAGGCCCAGUCGGCACUCUUGGCCUAGGAAAUGAUGAAGUCAACAACGAGGUAGGGGACGGGACCCACGGUGCCUUUCAAGUUCCUGUCACCAAGAGACACCUCUUGGCUUUGCCUGGCUUCCCCUGAGCUCCUUGCCAGGGUGCCGGCUCUUGCUGGUGUCGGAGGACACAUGCUUUGCCCAAGGCGGGCCACCUCUGCUGGUAGCUGCUUCACGGAGGGCCGUGCUAAGCUUCUGUGAGGUGCGCAGCCACGGGGCACAGCACGCUACCAAAACGGAGGAGAAGGGACCUCAUGCCCUGCAAGAGCUCACCAUUCCAUGCAAGAGACAAGACAGUGACAAAGACCUCAGCUGCUAUGGACACACGUCCUCAUACAAAUGGCCGCAACCGGGGACACCUGGAACACGGGAACCAGAAGCCCAGCCUCAAACCCGGACACUGGAGAUGCCAGGAGAGGGUUCAGGGCUCUUUGGGUCAUGGCAGGAAACCGGGUGAGAGGAACACUCUUGUGGGUGGGACAUACAAAGGGGACAGUUUGGGUGACUUGCGGGAUUAGGGCCAUGGGGCUGGCAGCUGCAGGGUGAAGGAGGGACACUGAACUAGAAAGGUGGGAGGCCCAGGACCAAAGGGGCCCUCCAUGCACUGGGCAGAGCAUGGUGUGCACAGGCCUCUGAGCCGAAGGGAGCAGGAAGGGGCUGGGGGCGGGGGCGUCCCUCCAGGACGGGCACCUCUCGCAGCAGAUCCCACGAACAGACACUGAAACUCGAGGGAGGCUGGAGCAGCCACUCACACAUGGGCAGGCCUUUGGGAGUCUGGGGGACUGGAACCUAGGGUAAGAAAGGGCUCAGGCUCAGUGGGGAAAGACUGACCAGGAGAAGACACGGUGUUGCAGGGAGAGGGCUGGGGUGGCCUGUCAUCUCAUGGCCUCAGGGAAAUCCCCCUUUUUUUUUUCUACUAUAAAGGAGGAACGGUGGUAGCUCUGUGUGCCCUCACUAUCUCCUCGCACGCCAUGAGCAGAGAGGCCCACGUGAGCACUCAUGGGGACAAAAUGCUGUGGGGUCCCAGGGGUUCCAGAGGGUGGGUCUUGGCUGCCUUGGCAAGUGUCCCAGGUCUCUGUGGGGAAGUGCCGGUGGGGAGGGGGACGGGCCUAGAGUGGGAGAACCAGUGGGAGGUACGCGGCAGACCUCCAGGACCAGAGGUCACAAAAGGGGCCGGCGGUGGGGACCGAAGGGUGCUGGAGACUGUUUGGGACAGCUGCGUACAGCUCACGUGGUCCGAGCCUCCUGCUGGAGUUACUGGUAGGAAGACAAGACAGGAAGUGCACAGCUUCACGACACACCAGCCCCGAGACACCCACACAAAACUCUCUAGAAAGGGUUACAUGAAGAUGGCCUCGAGUACUGUGUGAUCUUUAUUCCAUGAAAAUCUUGAACUCAACACAAAUUUCAUCUUUACAUAGGAUGGUAAUUGUACAAAGAAUUAAAACGUUUUUGUAAAAUCUGAUUAAAACACUGAUUCCUCCCCCGCCCCCCCCCCCCCCGCCCCCACUCAAGGGAAGGAGACAGGAUUGAGGGUAAGGGCAGGGCAGAGGCACAGAGCCCCUCAACGCAACGGACGGGGGAGCCUUGGCGCUAGCAGAGGCCCAGGCCACCCGCCCCUCCUACAGCAACUCCUCAGGCCCCGCAGGCUGGCUGGUGUGUCAAGGCCCAGCGGGCAUGUCCCCCUGCUCACACACAGGAGGCUGCCAAUGAGGAGUGAGUGGGCACUGCUCUCUCUGCCCUAUUCCUGGGGCACUGGGCACAGGUAACGGCUCGAGUCUAAAGAUCGAGUUCCCUGACAGAUAAAAGCCCGAUGGGCAAGGAGGCCAGGAUCCCUGGACAGCAAGGGUGCAGAGACCCUGCAGGCGAGCUGGCCUGUGGCUAUAGCUGGUAUGCACGAGUGUGGGAAGGGGUGGGGCGGCAACACAGGCCGACACUGUGGGAAUCCAGGCUGCCAUUUGUUCCAAGACAGCAGAAUCUUCCCAGAAAGACAAUGCCAGCAGCUUCCCAACUGUCCUGUGGGAAUCUCUGGGCAUGAAGCCCCCUGGCUCCAGCCAGGCCGAGCUGCACUGGGAACACAUCAGGCACAGGCCAAAGGGCAACUCAAAAUAGUCUGUUUGGCAAAUGAGUUUGACUGGAAGAAGACUGGCCAGAGGAUCAGAGAGCAGCCUAGGAACUCGCAAGCAUCACUGCAGGGCCCUGGAGAGGCUGGAUCUAGAACCCAAGGCCCGAGGAAGUGUCCCAGGGUUUCCGCACAGGAGGUGGCCAGCAUCCACCAGCUGCUGACGGAACUAUACCUCCUCAAACUUGCUUCCAGCUCUAGAAGGCAGGCUCCAAGGUGCCAGGAGACUGUUAUAAGCCUUGAAGAAGUACACACAAACUACACUUUAAAAAGGAAGAGGGGGGAAAAAAAAAACAAAACAAAAAACCCCAAAAAACCAACCCCCCCCUCCCAAACAACAACAAAGAAAAACAAAAACAAAACAAAACUCCCUGAAACACAGAUGCUGUUCCUUAAGGGACUUUUCAUCAGGCAGUUUUCUGCUGAAAUGCUGGAUUCAUGACCAAAAAAGGGCUGAUAUUUAUUUUUAGAGCAAAAAAUCCUAUUCAGUGCCUCUCACAGGGCUUGGAUGAUGUGGCCACCCUGGCCUGCCCCACCCCCAGAGGCUGUCAUUAUUCUAGGGGACUGAAGACUGAGAGGGUGCUUGCACUGGCAACACCCCUUCAGAGAUGUGCACAGAGCAGACCCCGAGGGCUCUGAUGGUCUCACUAUGGACUGGUCCAGUGUUCUGGGUUUGAGAGCCUUUUCUCGCCCACCAGCCCACUGUCUCACCCCACUUGGGACAGGUCACCUGGCUGCAUGGCCACUCUUCCUCGAGUGCCCCUCACCAGUGGCCUUCCUAAAAGCACCCCUUCCCCCUGUAGCCUGCUUCUAAUUACUUGGGAGGGACAGGGAGGCAGCCCGAGAGGUACUUUCCCCUCUGUGACUUCGGGCAAAGAGGCCAAAAAGUUGGGAAAAUGCCCAACAGGCAAUAAUGGGAACAAUGAAAACAGAAGGAAGACUCCAGGGGCCGGGAGUAGCCUGUGGCUGGUGACAGCCUCUGGCUGGAGCCUCACAAGCCACCAGAAAGAGGGCAUGCUGAGGGACAACCCCGUGAGCUUUUGAGCCCAGCCAGGCUUGCCCCUAAAGCCCUUGUUCCUCACUGGGGAAAGCACUAGAUUGAUUAGAGUGUUCUUCUUUAGGCUGAAUGAGAUCGUCCCUGGGCUAACAUCAUUUUAAGAUCCAGGAGGAAAGCAGUUAGGAUCCAGAAAAAGAGGGAGGGAUGAAGAGAGAAAACAUACUCGUGACGGGGCCUUGCACACGGAGCAGCACCACACGUAUGUGUGUGCGGGGGGAUUGUCAUCACCCUCUGGGAGAUGCCACCCACCCAGAAGACCCCAGACGACCAGGGAGGCUGGGCAGGACAGCCAAGCAGUCUUUACACAGGAGGCCCGGGUGGCCAGCCGAGCAGGCAGCCUUCCCGGAGGCGGGAUUAGGCGUGUGCUGCUGGACAUGACUAAAUCCACCCCAGGGGACAGGCCCAGGGCUCUGAGGAAUUCCAUAACUUGAUGGAGUCCUGUCCCUUUCACAGAAGAAAAUGGACUUAAGCUAUAGCUUGCUGGGAAGGAAUCUGGAACUGAAGACCGUUUUAUUAAGAGUCCGUGUCCAAUGAUUAGGCAGGACCUACAUAGAGGGAGAGAGAAACCAGUGUGAGAGAAAUGGUGUGGAAUGUACCGUUCAAGUCACAAGAACAGAAGAACCACAGA